RNAcentral lists this ribosomal RNA (253 nucleotides) under uncultured bacterium. RNAcentral's name for it is "partial 16S ribosomal RNA". It matches the Rfam family "Bacterial small subunit ribosomal RNA", at positions 524 to 776 of the family's 1533-position model. The record is from RNAcentral.
UACGGAAGGGGCGAGCGUUGUUCGGAAUCAUUGGGCGUAAAGCGCGCGUAGGCGGCUCGGAAAGUCGGUCGUGAAAUGCCGGGGCUCAACCCCGGGACUGCGUCCGAUACUCCCGAGCUGGAGGCAGGUAGGGGAGAUCGGAAUUCCUGGUGUAGCGGUGAAAUGCGCAGAUAUCAGGAGGAACACCGGUGGCGAAGGCGGAUCUCUGGGCCUUGCCUGACGCUGAGGCGCGAAAGCUAGGGGAGCGAACAGG